This 468-nucleotide ribosomal RNA is filed under the name uncultured bacterium. RNAcentral's name for it is "partial 16S ribosomal RNA". It matches the Rfam family "Bacterial small subunit ribosomal RNA", at positions 28 to 507 of the family's 1533-position model. The record is from RNAcentral.
GACGAACGCUGGCGGCGUGCUUAACACAUGCAAGUCGAACGGAAAGGCCCUGCUUUUGUGGGGUGCUCGAGUGGCGAACGGGUGAGUAACACGUGAGUAACCUGCCCUUGACUUUGGGAUAACUUCAGGAAACUGGGGCUAAUACCGGAGAGGAGCUCCUGCUGCAUGGUGGGGGUUGGAAAGUUUCGGCGGUUGGGGAUGGACUCGCGGCUUAUCAGCUUGUUGGUGGGGUAGUGGCUUACCAAGGCUUUGACGGGUAGCCGGCCUGAGAGGGUGACCGGCCACAUUGGGACUGAGAUACGGCCCAGACUCCUACGGGAGGCAGCAGUGGGGAAUAUUGCACAAUGGGCGGAAGCCUGAUGCAGCAACGCCGCGUGCGGGAUGACGGCCUUCGGGUUGUAAACCGCUUUCGACUGUGACAAAGCGUGAGUGACGGUAAUGGGUAAAGAAGCACCGGCUAACUACGUG